GGGCGGCGGCAGAGGCGGCGGCAGCAGCAGUAGCAGCAGCACAUGGUUCCAAGAGCGCCCUGCGGUUGUUGGGUUCCAAUUCCGCGGGGAGGGACAAAGGCAGCGACGAGCUCCCGGCAACGCCCGGUUGGGUGGUGCGCUCGCUACUGCUCUUGAUCCUGGCCUUGAAAGCUAGUGGUAACUCCUUUCCGUGAGGAGGUGACCACGGGACCGAGGCCCAGGAAGGGCCUGAGAGGCUGAGGCCGCUGUCUGAGGGAAGUGGGGGAGGGGCGCGGCCCUCCCUUUGGUGAUUUGGGCGGGUCAAUUGUGAGGCCCUCCUGUGGGCUUGCGUGAGGUAAUUUACCCACCACCCAGAGGAGAUUGGGGUGGGACAGCAAGUCGGGUUUGCCUCGGCUUUGAAAAAGGAAAUCUUCAGUCAGCGCCAAGGAGCUCUUUCAGUUGGGAAGUACUGAAGCCGGAACUACCGCCAUAUGUACCCGAUCAACAUUGUGGUACUCAGUCUAGAGCCUAUUUAAGAAUCUUGUCAUCUGGUGGCGAAGACAAUGGGUGACUGUUUAGUUUUAUGACAGAAGUGGGUAAAUUCCGGGUUGGUAAGUAUCCAGAUUGGUAAAGUUCCUGAUCACAGGAAGUUUAUGGGAACAGCAGCAACAAAAGACUAAAAGAAUACGAAGAUGCAACAGUAAUAAACCACCAAUUUAAGGACCAUAUAUUCCAGGAUAAUCAACAUUCAGCUCGUCCUCUGAAUUGAACUAUUGCCAACUAAAGUUAAAAGCUCCUCAGAACCGUAGAUUUAUGACGUAGUUCUUUCUGAAAAAUUACGUCACAGUCAUUGAGAAGAUUAAAAAAAAACCGCAGAAGAAAUCAACUGUAGUUUUAAACAUCUCUUUGAAUAUCUUUGAAUAUAUUCCAGAUAAACAUUAGGUAACUUUGUUUAAUCAUCAUUCAGGAGUGCAGACUUACUAAACCUUUAUUGGAAGAAAUCCUAGAAAAAUCUAUUCCGUUAUAAAGUUAAACUGCUCAGUUAGUGGGUAGAAGACUGGAGAACUCAUUGAAGUCAUGGCCUUCACAAAUUACAGCAGUCUGAAUCGAGCUCAGCUAACCUUUGAAUAUCUGCACACAAAUUCAACCACCCAUGAAUUCUUGUUUGGUGCUCUUGCUGAACUGGUUGAUAAUGCAAGAGAUGCUGAUGCCACCAGAAUAGAUAUUUUUGCAGAAAGGCGAGAGGACCUUCGAGGAGGAUUUAUGCUUUGUUUUUUGGAUGAUGG
Long non-coding RNA from Tupaia belangeri chinensis (Chinese tree shrew), 1265 nucleotides. RefSeq lists it as uncharacterized. NCBI's taxonomy places the organism in Eukaryota, Metazoa, Chordata, Mammalia, Scandentia, Tupaiidae. The transcript is spliced from 4 exons. The record is from RefSeq and is a predicted model, not a curated record.